RNAcentral lists this ribosomal RNA (479 nucleotides) under uncultured bacterium. RNAcentral describes it as "partial 16S ribosomal RNA". It matches the Rfam family "Bacterial small subunit ribosomal RNA", at positions 28 to 523 of the family's 1533-position model. The record is from RNAcentral.
GACGAACGCUGGCGGCGUGCUUAACACAUGCAAGUCGAGCGAUGAAGCACCUUCGGGUGUGAAUUAGCGGCGAACGGGUGAGGAACACGUGAAGAAUCUGCCUUCAACUCUGGGAUAACUCCGGGAAACCGGGGCUAAUACCGGAUAUGAGCCUUGAUCGCAUGAUCGGGGCUGGAAAGUUUUUCGGUUGAAGAUGACUUCGCGGCCUAUCAGCUUGUUGGUGAGGUAAUGGCUCACCAAGGCGACGACGGGUAGCCGGCCUGGGAGGGCGACCGGCCCCACUGGGACUGAGACACGGACCAGACUCCUACGGGAGGCAGCAGGGGGGAAUAUUGCACAAUGGGCGCAAGCCUGAUUCAGCGACGCCGCGUGAGGGAUGACGGCCUUCGGGUUGUAAACCUCUUUCGGCACUGACGAAGCGCAAGUGACGGUAGGUGCAGAAGAAGGACCGGCCAACUACGUGCCAGCCGCCGCCGUAA